Molecule: long non-coding RNA, 2806 nt
Organism: Magnolia sinica
Lineage: Eukaryota; Viridiplantae; Streptophyta; Magnoliopsida; Magnoliales; Magnoliaceae
Exons: 2
Source: RefSeq, a predicted model, not a curated record
GAUUUUCUCUCUAUUCAUUGCCCCAAAUGGAUUUCCCUUCUUUUAUUUUUGUAGAAUUUUCUUAUCUAGAUUAGAAAAGGAGAAAGAACCAUUGGUUGAAUUACACAAAAACAGAGGGAUGAUAAUCCAGUAAGAAUUUCUUGUUACCAUUUCAUGCUGCAAAUUCCUCAAUGUGGUCCAGGUGGGUCCGCCUGUGAUCGAUCCUUGUGGAUUGCAUGUGGCCUCAACACCCUCUUGAUUGGAUAAUCUUUGAUUAAGGGCCUAAGAAAUUGAAGAAAUAUUAGAAAUAGUGGCCAUUCUGUGAGCCCUUAGUUGGGUGGCUGUGAUCGUUUGAUUGGUUUGAUUUUAGUCCAUAAGAAAUCCAAGGUUGGUCCGCCGUAUCCAAAUGUGGUCACAGGUGGGAAGAAUUAAUACUGGAAUUUCCUCUUUUGUGGUGUAGAUUCCUCAAUGUGGCCCAGGUGGGCAUGCCUAUGAUCGAUCACCAAUGACCGUCGAAUAGGAGAGGUCCGCUGCAGAUUCGGCAUGGCCCUAAAAUCUCUUUGAUUGGAUGGUCUGAUCUGAUUAAGGACCUAAGAAAUCAUGAUAGGACUAGAACGAACUUACAAUCGAUUUUGCCAGCCCUUAGUUGGGUGGUUACUAUCAUUACAACAGGGUGAUUUGGGUUCAUGUGCAAUCCAAGGUGGGCACCACAUAUCUGAUGGUGGCCACAGGUGGGAAGAGUGCUUACAGGAUUUUCUUAUCACUCUUCUGUGGUGUUAAUUUUUCGAUGUGGCCAAGUGGGUAGCUUAUCAUCGAUCAUCGAUGGCCAUUGAAUAGGAGGGGUCCACUGAAGAUGUACAUGGCCCCAAGAUUGCCCCUAUCAGGGGAUUUCUGAUUAAGGGCAAAUGAAAUUAUGUAAGCCUAGACAUGAACUUAAUCCAUUUGCAAGCUCUUAGUUGGAUGGCUAUAAUGGUUCAAUCAGGGUGGCAACCCCUGGUGGGAAGAAUUCUUUCUGGAAAUAAAUUUAAGUGUUUAUGGUGUAAAUACUUCAAUGUGACCAAAGCGGGCCAGCCAAUGAUCAAUCACCAAUGAUCGUUGAAUAGGAGGGGCACACUGCCUAUUUCUCAUGACCUAAAGUCAUCCCGAUGGGCCUGAUUAAGGGCCUAUAGAAUUAUGUAAGACUAGAAAUGAACUGACUGUCCGCAAAGCAAGGCCUUAAUUAGAUGGCUGUAAUCAUCUGGUGAGGAUGAUUUGGUCCAUGUGCAAUCCAGGGUGGGCCUCACAUAUCCAAUGGUGAUCACAGGCGACAAGAGUUUCUUACUAGAUCAUCCCCUUCCCCGGUCCAUGUGCAAGCUCAGUGUGAUGUUUUAAUGACAUCCAAUCCAUAUAUCAUUUUUGCCCACUAUUUUUCUCUUUGGUGCCCAAAAAUCAGGCCAAUCCAGAACUCAGGUGGACCACACCACAGUGAAUAAUUGGGGUGGGGAUGCCCACCAUUAAAAACCUUCUAGAUUGUAUGUUGGGCUGUUUUGUAUACUCCAUCCAAUCCAUUCAAAGGAUGCAUCUGACAGGGAUCAGUAGACACCCAAAAAGAGCAGGCCAUUCCAAUACUCAGGUGGGCCCCAACAUGUGAUUUUAGAGUUUUUAGACAUGAUUUUACAUGCCGUGGCCCACCUGAUUUGGGAUCAAUCUGAUUUUUGGGAUCCAAGGAGAAUAGGAGAGGGCACACAUGAUGGAUGGGUGGAUGUCAGUAAAACAUCACGGGCCUCACACGUCAAUUUCUACAUUAAAGCUUAACAUAGAAAAGUUUGCAUUGGAUCCGGCCUCUUCAGGAAAAGGAAUAUAUCCUUGAAAUUUUCAUGGGAAGCAAUUAAUCUACCUGACCAGCUUUCAUGGUAAUUAUUCAAACUGAUUUUUGUUGAAAAUUUUUAUUUCUAGGAAAAAUCUUCUUUUUUUGUGGAAAAAAAUGCGUAUUUAGAAAUAGAAUGUAAUAGAAAGAUUACUAUUACUAUUACUAUUACUAUUGCCAUUACUACUACUACUACUAUUAUUACUAUUGUUUGUAAAUUCUAUUGUUAGCAAAUUUCAGAUUUAUGGUUUGAUAGAUGACAUGAUCAGCACCACACAUUGUGAAAAACCAUCAUGGGUUAAUUCGUAGGGCUAGAUGCGUAUGUGGGUCAGCUGUGGGUUUCUUAUCUUUGAAUCCAGACCAUCAACAUCACGUGCCCUGUCGUUGACGGAGCAUAUGCCGAAAACUGCACUGAUCCGAUGAUCGUACCUAUGAUUUGGUUUUGAUCCAGUGCUGUUUUAACCAUCCCUUUGUUUUCUAAGUAUUGGUCGUUGAGGAUCGUCCGACUAGCUUGAUUCUAGUCUAUGAUUCUUAACGGUUUGGAUUGAGACAGAUCACCAUCAUUCAUUAUUAUGUGCCAAACACACAAUGCCCGUGAAUAAUAAUAACUGUUGAUGAUGGAAGGUUCUACCUACUUUCUUUGACUCUUUAUGAGGUGGCGUGAUGAAGUGGGGUCCACCUGCUAUUAUCACCGUCCAAUUUUUUAGAAUCAGGACAGUUCUGGUUCUUAUUUUUUAUAUUAUUCCUAAUGAUCCCUGUCUUCCUUUGAUUGUUAUUAUAAUGAAAACAGUGCGUGUGGGAUCUGGGCCAUCCAUUAGGUGGGGUCCACCUUGACAAUGACAUGCCCCAGAAAUCUGUCCAGCCCAAUUACCAUGGAUAUGUGACUAAGGGGCAGUUAGAAAAGAAAGGGACAGAUCGUGAUAUUCAACAUAGGCAUGCGGUGCACAUGGUAUGAGUUGGCAGCUGGCAGGACUUUUGUUA